GUGAUUUUGUUAUGGUUUUUGUCCUGUCUCCACCCCUGUCUUGUCAUUGGUUGUUUCUGCAGAGCUCCAGCCAGAGGUCAACGUGGUGACCUCGGCUCCAGAGCACCAGCUCGAGACCUUCGAGGUGGUCUCACCUGCUGAGCUCCAGCCGGAGGUCAACAUGGUGGUCUCAUCUACCAAGCUCCAGCCAGAGGUCAACAAGAUGACCUCCCAAGCCAUGUUCAAGUGCGAGAUCGAAGAGGCGACUUUUCAAGCCAAGUACCUGUCAGCCAGCCUGUCAAGCCAAGUUCAUGUCCGAGGUCGAAGAGGCAACCUCUCAAGCCAAGUUCCUGUCAGAGGUCGACGAGACGGCCUCCCAAGCCACGUUCAUGUACGAGGUCGAAGAGACGGCUUCCCAAGCCAAGUUCUUGUCCCAGGUCGAAGAGACAGCCUCCCGAGCCACGUUCAUGUCUGAGGUCGAGGAGGUGACCUCCCACGCCAUGUUCCAGUAUGAGAUCGAUGAUGUGACCUUCCGUGCCACAUUCCAGUCUGAGAUCGAAAUGUGACCUUCCAUGCCACGUUCCAGUCUGAGACCGAUGUCACGACCAACCAAGUUAUAU
Long non-coding RNA from Ictalurus punctatus (channel catfish), 599 nucleotides. The record is from Ensembl. NCBI's taxonomy places the organism in Eukaryota, Metazoa, Chordata, Actinopteri, Siluriformes, Ictaluridae.